UGAGAAACCCAGAUGUGGGGGUGUUUGGGCUUGUGCUGUUGUUCCCAGGGGAACCUCUAAUGGACCAUGUCACCACAAGCCACCCAGGACAUGGCCACUGAAGUCCAGAGCUGAGCUGGUGUAACUGUAAGCACUGCUGUGAUGAUUUGCAUUGAGGAUACAUCCAGACAACAGGCUGUCUACAAGAGAACAUGAUUAUCUAUAUCACUACUAAGGCAGACAUCACCCAAACUGCUGUUAAAUUCACAAGUGUCACUCCAUCAGGAACAGCACACGUCCCCACACAGGCCCAGCUGUUACCAGUCACCCCAGCCCUGGUACUGGUGGAGAGCCACAGGGAGCCAAGAUCCAAGUGGAUGAGUGUGAGCUGGUGGAAUGGCAGGCGGAUCCAGUGUCAGACUGGGAUGCAGCACGGACCCAGCAGCCCCUGGCACAGAGCACAGUC
Passer domesticus (house sparrow) is the source of this 445-nucleotide long non-coding RNA. RefSeq lists it as uncharacterized. The record is from RefSeq and is a predicted model, not a curated record. The transcript is spliced from 3 exons. NCBI's taxonomy places the organism in Eukaryota, Metazoa, Chordata, Aves, Passeriformes, Passeridae.